Molecule: ribosomal RNA, 200 nt
Filed under: uncultured bacterium
Lineage: Bacteria
Description: partial 16S ribosomal RNA
Rfam family: Bacterial small subunit ribosomal RNA
Source: RNAcentral
AGAGUUUGAUCCUGGCUCAGGAUGAACGCUAGCGGCAGGCCUAAUACAUGCAAGUCGAACGGUACCAGGUCCAGCAAUGGAUGCUGACGAGUGGCAGACGGGUGCGUAACGCGUAUGCAACCUACCUUUCACAGGGGGAUAACCACGAGAAAUCGUGGCUAACACCGCAUAAUAUAAUUUUGUGGCAUCAUAGAGUUAUU